GUUUAAAUAAUUUAAAUAAAAUAUUAGAUUGUGAUUCUAGAAAUAAGAGUUAAAUUCUCUUUUUAAACC
Molecule: transfer RNA, 69 nt
Filed under: Pseudohynobius shuichengensis
Lineage: Eukaryota; Metazoa; Chordata; Amphibia; Caudata; Hynobiidae
Description: tRNA-His
Rfam family: tRNA
About the family: Transfer RNA (tRNA) molecules are approximately 80 nucleotides in length. Their secondary structure includes four short double-helical elements and three loops (D, anti-codon, and T loops). Further hydrogen bonds mediate the characteristic L-shaped molecular structure. tRNAs have two regions of fundamental functional importance: the anti-codon, which is responsible for specific mRNA codon recognition, and the 3' end, to which the tRNAs corresponding amino acid is attached (by aminoacyl-tRNA synthetases). tRNAs cope with the degeneracy of the genetic code in two manners: having more than one tRNA (with a specific anti-codon) for a particular amino acid; and 'wobble' base-pairing, i.e. permitting non-standard base-pairing at the 3rd anti-codon position.
Source: RNAcentral